This 378-nucleotide ribosomal RNA is filed under the name uncultured bacterium. RNAcentral's name for it is "bacterial SSU rRNA". It matches the Rfam family "Bacterial small subunit ribosomal RNA", at positions 524 to 898 of the family's 1533-position model. The record is from RNAcentral.
CACGUAGGCACCAAGCGUUGUCCGGAUUUAUUGGGCGUAAAGAGCUCGUAGGCGGUUCGGUAAGUCGGGUGUGAAAACUUUGGGCUCAACCCAAAGCCUGCACUCGAUACUGCUGUGACUUGAGUCCGGUAGGGGAGUGGGGAAUUCCUGGUGUAGCGGUGGAAUGCGCAGAUAUCAGGAGGAACACCGGUGGCGAAGGCGCCACUCUGGGCCGGUACUGACGCUGAGGAGCGAAAGCGUGGGGAGCGAACAGGAUUAGAUACCCUGGUAGUCCACGCCGUAAACGUUGGGCACUAGGUGUGGGCUCUUACCAACGGAGUCCGUGCCGUAGCUAACGCAUUAAGUGCCCCGCCUGGGGAGUACGGCCGCAAGGCUAAA